CUACGGGCUGCUCCAGUGGGGAAUAUUGGACAAUGGGGGAAACCCUGAUCCAGCAAUGCCGCGUGUGUGAAGAAGGCCUGCGGGUUGUAAAGCACUUUCGGUUGGGAGGACUGCUUCUAGCACUAAUAUUGUUGGAAGUUGACGUUACCUUCAGAAGAAGCACCGGCUAACUCCGUGGCCAGCAGCCGCGGUAAUACGGAGGGUGCAAGCGUUAAUCGGAAUUACUGGGCGUAAAGCGCGCGUAGGCGGCUAGAUCAGUCGGGUGUGAAAGCCCCGGGCUUAACCUGGGAACUGCAUCCGAUACUGUCUAGCUUGAGUACAGGAGAGGAGAGUGGAAUUCCACAUGUAGCGGUGAGAUGCGUAGAUAUGUGGAGGAACACCAAUGGCGAAGGCAGCUCUCUGGCCUGAUACUGACGCUGAGGUGCGAAAGCGUGGGGGGCAAACAGGAUUAGAUACCCGAGUAGUC
RNAcentral lists this ribosomal RNA (466 nucleotides) under uncultured bacterium. RNAcentral describes it as "partial 16S ribosomal RNA". It matches the Rfam family "Bacterial small subunit ribosomal RNA", at positions 339 to 795 of the family's 1533-position model. The record is from RNAcentral.